AACGAACGCUGGCGGCGUGCCUAACACAUGCAAGUCGAGCGCGAAAGUCCCUUCGGGGGCAAGUAGAGCGGCGGACGGGUGAGUAACGCGUAAGUAAUCUACCCUGGCAUCUGGAAUAACUCACCGAAAGGUGUGCUAAUACCGGAUACGCUGAUUUAUCAGGAAAGGUGGCCUCUUCAUGAAAGCUACUGUGCCGGGAGGAGCUUGCGUACCAUUAGCUAGUUGGUGGGGUAAUGGCCUACCAAGGCGACGAUGGUUAGCGGGUCUGAGAGGAUGAUCCGCCACACUGGAACUGGAACACGGACCAGACUCCUACGGGAGGCUG
This 325-nucleotide ribosomal RNA is filed under the name uncultured Pseudomonadota bacterium. RNAcentral's name for it is "bacterial SSU rRNA". It matches the Rfam family "Bacterial small subunit ribosomal RNA", at positions 29 to 351 of the family's 1533-position model. Lineage: Bacteria; Pseudomonadati; Pseudomonadota. The record is from RNAcentral.